Molecule: long non-coding RNA, 663 nt
Organism: Culicoides brevitarsis
Lineage: Eukaryota; Metazoa; Arthropoda; Insecta; Diptera; Ceratopogonidae
Exons: 2
Source: RefSeq, a predicted model, not a curated record
AAAAUUUGCUCCUUACCCUUAAUGUGUUUCAAAUAUCUACGCCCCUGAUAAAGUACUGUUAGAUAGAAAUUUUGCAUCGACAAAUAGGCUCCAAUUAAAACUCAUUUAAAGUGGUUUUUAUGUGCUAAAUUGCUGAUAUUUUUCACGAAAUUGGACAAAAGAGAUUUUGCAAAAAUGAGUGAUGAAUAUGUUUGCUUUUUGAUUGAAUCAAGUGACUCUGAAGAUGAAAAAGAAGCAAGUCGUAAUGUAGUUGCCAAAAAAGCGGUUAAGGAAGCUUCGACAGAAAAACCGACCGAGAACAAGGAAAGUGAUGAUGAAGAAGUAAUUCAACCAUGGAAGACCGGAUUUGAGUUGGGCUACACUCCUGAGAAGAUUAUUGGUCUUACUACUCAAGAUGACAAGUUACUUUUUCUGGUACAGUGGAAAGGGAAGCGCAAGGCUCAGCUCGUCGACUCGAAGAUUGUUCGUAAGGAAUGUCCAAAUCUCGUCAUAGACUAUUACGAAUCUCGCUUGAUAUGGACACAAGAUUAAUUUAUGCUUCAUCGAAAUUUUUUUCUUUUUUUUUGUUUUUUUUUACUGAAACCCACCUAUGUACAUUUUUCGAAUGGGUUAUUUGAAUUCCUAUAAUAUGUGAGUAAUCAAAAUUAAAUUGUACUAAUUUAA